This 562-nucleotide non-coding RNA is filed under the name Stegodyphus mimosarum. RNAcentral's name for it is "eukaryotic small subunit ribosomal RNA". It matches the Rfam family "Eukaryotic small subunit ribosomal RNA", at positions 59 to 589 of the family's 1831-position model. The record is from Rfam by way of RNAcentral. Lineage: Eukaryota; Metazoa; Arthropoda; Arachnida; Araneae; Eresidae.
UUAAUUGCUGCCAAAAAUGCCAUUGCUCAGGCUAACCUUUUGAUACACCCUAUUCCCAUAGCCCAGUUUUAAAUCAGUUAUGGUCCUUGGAUCUUACCUCACUACUUGGAUAACUGUGGCAAUUUUAGAGCUAAUACAUGCAGCAGAAUUCUGACCCUCUGAGAAUGAGCAGUUUUAUUAGACCAAAACCUAUCGAACCUUGUGUCUGUAUUAUGUGGUGACUCUAUUAAUUUGGGUUGGAUCGCAUGGGCUCGUCCCGCCGACGUAUCUUUCAAGUGUCUGCCUUAUCAGUUGUCGAUGGUAGGUUAGUAGCCUACCAUGGUUGUAAUGGGUGAAGGGGAAUCAGGGUUCGAUUCCAGGGAGAGAGCCUGAGAAAUGGCUAACACAUCCAAGGAACGCAGCAGGCACUCAAAUUACUCAUUCCCAGAACGGGAAGGUAGUGAUGAAAAAUAGCAAUACGGGACUCUUUUGAGACCCCGUAUCUGGAAUGAGUGCACUCUAAAUCCUUAAUGAGGAUCAAUUGGAGGGCAAGUCUGGUGAGCUUUUGGGUAAAUGCUUCAGA